GAAAGAGGGAGAGAGGGAGUCACACACACACACCCUGUCUCUUGCACGCACACACACAGAAACUGAGAAGUGUCUUGCUUGGGAGAUUGAGAGACACAUGCACGCACUCUCACUCUCUCACACAUGCACACACACACAGGGGGAGUGGUGAAGGCAGGCUCCGGUGCGUUUUGAAGCAGCAGUGAGAGUAAGAGAGAGGACUAGCCAGUACAGAGGACAGACGACUCUUAAGCUUGAACGGACCGUCACCUACCUACCAGCCCCCAGCCGAUGAGCCACAGCCACUGCCACAGCACCGUGAUAAAAGGGGUUAUGCCAAGAGAGCUUGAAAGGAAGGGAAGAUCCAGCUCUCCGUCCAUCUGUCCGUCCGUCCGCCUCUUCAUCCUCAACCCCCUUUUUUUCGGAGCUGGUAUCUCAGGUUGGACUGUCCCAUUUUGAAUUCUUCCUUUUCUCUUGUCAUUCUCUUGUUUUGAUGGCGGGAUGUUAAAGAUCAGGUGAAGAAAGGAGGAGCUACAUUGUGGACGUCUGCCAGGUCAUGUCGUUUAUACAUUUUUUGUUUGUUGUUUUUUCAACGAUCACUCAUUUGUCCUCCUCCUGACUGAAUUGAAGAGUGUGUGUGAGACGCAGGACUGGAGCCUAUGAGGACUUUGAGACUGAUCUGUUUUGAUAUGAUCCGGUCGUCAGGCAAAUUCUUUCCUAUCCUGACGGAGCAGUAUCAAAGUUAGCUGGAGCUCAAGGGAGAGGAGGGGGCCGUGGGGAGGGCCUGGGGCCCACGACAGAGCACCCGCAUUGGGACACAUGCAGAGAGGGACACUGGCAUAGUGGUUCUUCUCACCCACUGUUUUCUGUGUUCAGGAACAUGACAACAGUAGUUUUCUAUUGUCCUGUUGUCAUGUUGACAGAGGGACAGUGACAUACCAGGGCAACACCUGAACAACAACAACGGUAACAGCAAGGACAGGCAACAGCCAUAUCUAAAAGACAACAACAGGUAAACCACCAGUGACAGCAACAAUGCACUGCAUCUAACCAAACCUCAAUCAGCCAACACCUGAUAACUUUGGGUGGGCCUUUGACAAGGACUCCACCCCUCCAUCUCUCCAUCCCCCUCUCUCCCUGCUGUGGUGUCCUUCUCCCUUCAUCCUCCAGCGAGAAUCCCCUAGUGACCCCACUCUGCUACUAUAUUUAUCCAGAUAUUGUUGACAUUAUAUUGACAUUUAUAUGUCAAUCUAGGCAAGUUUGCUCAAAGGAUUCUGGGUAAUCACCCCGGGCGGUGCUCCAUCGCCCUGGGUGAAAGGGCAGGGGGGCGGCCCACGGUUCCCCCCGACCACAACCGGGUGAAGAGCGGGCGCGGGCAGCAAGAUGGCGGCUCUCGCCAGCUCGUUGAUCCGCCAGCGGCGGGAAGUGAAGGACCCCCAGGCCAACCGGCAGGUGGCCAACAAGAGGAAGCCGUGCCCCAAGGCCAACAAGUCCCUGUGCCAGAAACAGAUAUUAUUACUCAUUUCAAAAGUCCGACUAUGUGGCAAUCGAGGCCGAAAAUUAGAAAAAAGACCGGGACUACAAGCUGGCGAGAUCUAUUUUGAGUGGGGGACUGAAAGUGAAUGAAUGGUGCCACGGGCCUCACCUACACUGGACCUGAAAGGUUUCUCACAACUUUAACAGCUUUGUCAUUGAGAUCAGGACAACAAUAUUAAGGUAAGACACUGUAUAGCCAGUCGUGACCGGGAGUCCCAUAAGGCGGUGCACAAUUGGCCUAACGUGGUCCGGAUUAGGGGAGGGUUCUCCUUGGCUCACCGCACUCUAGCUACUCGUGGUGGGCCGUGCGCUUGCAAGCUGACUUCGGUCGUCAGUUGAGCUGUGUUUCCUCCGACAUAUUGGUGCGGCUGGCUUCCAGAUUAAUCAAGCAGGUGUUAAGAAGCAGCGGGGCUUGGUGGAUCAU
Long non-coding RNA from Oncorhynchus tshawytscha (Chinook salmon), 1939 nucleotides. RefSeq lists it as uncharacterized. The transcript has 3 exons. The record is from RefSeq and is a predicted model, not a curated record. Lineage: Eukaryota; Metazoa; Chordata; Actinopteri; Salmoniformes; Salmonidae.